GACGAACGCUGGCGGCGUGCUUAACACAUGCAAGUCGAACGGUAAGGCCCUUCGGGGUACACGAGUGGCGAACGGGUGAGUAACACGUGGGUGAUCUGCCCUGCACUUCGGGAUAAGCCUGGGAAACUGGGUCUAAUACCGGAUAGGACUCCUGGCUUCAUGGUUGGUGGUGGAAAGCUUUUGCGGUGUGGGAUGGGCCCGCGGCCUAUCAGCUUGUUGGUGGGGUAAUGGCCUACCAAGGCGACGACGGGUAGCCGGCCUGAGAGGGUGACCGGUCACACUGGGACAGAGGUCCGGCCCAGACUCCGACGGGAGGCAGCAGUGGGGAAUAUUGCACCAUGGGCGCAAGCCUGAUGCAUCGACGCCGCGUGAGGGAUGACGGCCUUCGGGUUGUAAACCUCUUUCAGCUAUGACGAAGCGCAAGUGACGGUAGUAGCAGAAGAAGGACCGGCCAACUACGUGCCAGCCGCCGCCGUAA
This 478-nucleotide ribosomal RNA is filed under the name uncultured bacterium. Its description in RNAcentral is "partial 16S ribosomal RNA". It matches the Rfam family "Bacterial small subunit ribosomal RNA", at positions 28 to 523 of the family's 1533-position model. The record is from RNAcentral.